This 465-nucleotide ribosomal RNA is filed under the name uncultured bacterium. RNAcentral's name for it is "partial 16S ribosomal RNA". It matches the Rfam family "Bacterial small subunit ribosomal RNA", at positions 28 to 507 of the family's 1533-position model. The record is from RNAcentral.
GACGAACGCUGGCGGCGUGCUUAACACAUGCAAGUCGAACGGAAAGGCCCUGCUUGCAGGGUACUCGAGUGGCGAACGGGUGAGUAACACGUGGGUGAUCUGCCCUGCACUUCGGGAUAAGCCUGGGAAACUGGGUCUAAUACCGGAUAGGAGCCAUUUUUAGUGUGAUGGUUGGAAAGUUUUUUCGGUGUAGGAUGAGCUCGCGGCCUAUCAGCUUGUUGGUGGGGUAAUGGCCUACCAAGGCGGCGACGGGUAGCCGGCCUGAGAGGGUGGACGGCCACAUUGGGACUGAGAUACGGCCCAGACUCCUUCGGGAGGCAGCAGUGGGGAAUAUUGCACAAUGGGCGCAAGCCUGAUGCAGCGACGCCGCGUGGGGGAUGACGGCCUUCGGGUUGUAAACUCCUUUCGCUAGGGACGAAGCUUUUUGUGACGGUACCUAGAUAAGAAGCACCGGCUAACUACGUG